GAUGAACGCUGGCGGCGUGCCUAAUACAUGCAAGUCGAGCGAACAGAUGAGGAGCUUGCUCCUCUGACGUUAGCGGCGGACGGGUGAGUAACACGUGGAUAACCUACCUAUAAGACUGGGAUAACUUCGGGAAACCGGAGCUAAUACCGGAUAAUAUAUUGAACCGCAUGGUUCAAUAGUGAAAUACGGUUUUGCUGUCACUUAUAGAUGGAUCCGCGCCGCAUUAGCUAGUUGGUAAGGUAACGGCUUACCAAGGCAACGAUGCGUAGGCGACCUGAGAGGGUGAUCGGCCACACUGGAACUGAGACACGGUCCAUGCUCCUACGGGAGGCAGCAGUAGGGAAUCUUCCGCAAUGGGCGAAAGCCUGACGGAGCAACGCCGCGUGAGUGAUGAAGGUCUUCGGAUCGUAAAACUCUGUUAUUAGGGAAGAACAAAUGUGUAAGUAACUAUGCACGUCUUGACGGUACCUAAUCAGAAAGCCACGGCUAACUACGUG
Molecule: ribosomal RNA, 497 nt
Filed under: uncultured bacterium
Lineage: Bacteria
Description: partial 16S ribosomal RNA
Rfam family: Bacterial small subunit ribosomal RNA
Source: RNAcentral